ACGGGGUGCAGCAGGCGCGAAACCUUCACAAUGUGCGAAAGCGCGAUGAGGGGAUCCCAAGUGCUUGCUCGUAAGAGUAAGCUGUUUUUAUGUCUAAAACGCAUAGAGAGUAAGGGCUGGGUAAGACGGGUGCCAGCCGCCGCGGUAAUACCUGCAGCUCAAGUGGUGACCGCUAUUAUUGGGCCUAAAACAUUCGUAGCCGGUUUGGUAAAUGCCUGGGUAAAUCGUGUAGCUUAACUAUACGAAUUCCGGGUAGACUGCCAAACUUGAGACCGGGAGAAGCUAGAGGUACUCCUUGGGUAGAGGUGAAAUUCUGUAAUCCUAGGGGGACCACCAGUGGCGAAGGCGUCUAGCUAGAACGGGUUUGACGGUGAGGAAUGAAGCCCUGGGGCGCAAACCGGAUUAGAUACCCGGGUAGUCCAGGGUGUAAACGCUGCUUGCUUGAUGUUAGUUGGGCUCCGAGCCCAAUUAGUGUCGGAGAGAAGUUGUUAAGCAAGCUGCCUGGAAGUACGAUCGCAAGAU
RNAcentral lists this ribosomal RNA (522 nucleotides) under uncultured archaeon. Its description in RNAcentral is "bacterial SSU rRNA". It matches the Rfam family "Archaeal small subunit ribosomal RNA", at positions 325 to 849 of the family's 1478-position model. The record is from RNAcentral.